GGAUGAGAAACAAUUCUCAAAUUUCUAUUAAUUCUCAAUAAUAAAUUCUACCAAGAUACCUAGAGGACAUAAAUGUUUAUGGGAGAAUUGUUAAUCCUACUAUUAGUACGAUUUGGAAUCCCAAAAUAAGAAAAUUACUAAACAAACUCUAAUAUUUUCUCAUAUUUCUCAAAGAAGGAUUACAACAUAUUUAUACAAUUAUAAUCCUAACUAAGAAGCAAAGUAAUCCCUAAAACAAGAAGCACAAAGUAGUCCAGAGACUUACACGGCCUAACCCAUGUAGUGCCACACGGGCC
RNAcentral lists this unclassified non-coding RNA (296 nucleotides) under Hevea brasiliensis (rubber tree). Lineage: Eukaryota; Viridiplantae; Streptophyta; Magnoliopsida; Malpighiales; Euphorbiaceae. The record is from RNAcentral.